RNAcentral lists this unclassified non-coding RNA (341 nucleotides) under Hevea brasiliensis (rubber tree). The record is from RNAcentral. Lineage: Eukaryota; Viridiplantae; Streptophyta; Magnoliopsida; Malpighiales; Euphorbiaceae.
UAAAAGGGCAAAGGAGAGUAAAUGUAUUUUCCAAUUUCUAUCUUUACUUAACUUUUUCCCUCCCCUAUUCUUAGCCAACGUUCCAAAGAGUGUAAAUCUUGGACUCUAGCAGUACCUAGUCUGCAUGUGUCUGGUGUCAACGAAGACGUGUCAGGCUCAGGUUUCAACGCUCUAUAAUCUGAUCAGUAAGAUCAAAACCAUCUCCUCCACCAACUUUUCAUCUCCUUCACUGCUCACUGUAAAUCCAAGAAAUCAUGAAAAACCAAGAAAAUGACCAGCAACACCACCACCAACUCGAAGAAAAUGACCAUAACCAACGACUACCAGAAGAAGAAGAAGAA